AGGCCUGGAGUGAUGAAAAACAUUCCAAUCACCAUCUUUCAAAUGAUUAAGAAACAUGAUUGUAGCAAUAAUCUAUCCCCUGACCAGACCU
Molecule: small nucleolar RNA, 91 nt
Filed under: Chlamydomonas reinhardtii
Lineage: Eukaryota; Viridiplantae; Chlorophyta; Chlorophyceae; Chlamydomonadales; Chlamydomonadaceae
Description: CrCD09b snoRNA
Source: RNAcentral